This 27-nucleotide non-coding RNA is filed under the name Cricetulus griseus (Chinese hamster). Lineage: Eukaryota; Metazoa; Chordata; Mammalia; Rodentia; Cricetidae. The record is from RNAcentral.
UCCUCUCUUACCCUGUGAUAAAUCUGC